Long non-coding RNA from Oncorhynchus masou masou (cherry salmon), 1254 nucleotides. RefSeq lists it as uncharacterized. The transcript is spliced from 4 exons. Lineage: Eukaryota; Metazoa; Chordata; Actinopteri; Salmoniformes; Salmonidae. The record is from RefSeq and is a predicted model, not a curated record.
CAGUUGCCUAUGGAGUCCAUGGGGCUCAGAGACAGGGGAAGGGAUCAUGUCAAAUGUUUCAACUUCAAUGAAAUCUCAGUCCCAUCAACACCUUCCUCUUAAGAUGUCCCAAGACAGAUCUUGAUACAUAAAGUUGAUCUUCUCUUGCUUGAACAGGUGAGAGUGCAAUUCUGGGCUUUCCUUGACAGUUUUAUCAACCUUUUACUGCAGUGGGCUUAAUCAGGGUCACACAGAGUGAUUCUUGUUGGUCUCAAAGAAAUCUGCUUUGAAACAAAAGUAUACACCUCACACAUGGUUAUGGGCUUAAACACAAGAAGUGACCUGUACCGUGUCGGAUAGAGUUUAAAUGUAUUCUGUUUCGAGUUUGCAUCCCAAUAUUACACUAUAUACAUCACAGAAGACUGAAAUAUAACAAAACUGUUUGAUACUGAAACACUGGAUUUUUGUUGUAAACGUUUUCAAUAUACUGUAUAUAAUUAUUAUUUUUCAAAAAUAUUAAUAACCUUCCACCCAUGAAGCCAAAGAGGGUGCCUUUGGUCAUUGAGUGCAGGGAAGUGCUACAUAGAGGAUACAUCUACAGUACUUGUUAUGUCAAAUAUAUCCCAAACAUAAAUUAUAGAGAAAUGUCUGGUCCAUGUAUUGAUUGUUUUGUUUUGUCUUAUUAAUCAGGGAUGCCAACAUCACAUGCUGCAGAGUAGAUUGAAUGUAUUUGGAUGAACUGAUGAAGAUACAAGGAUGGAAGACUACAUGUCAGCAUCUCAACUCAAGGGUCCUAACUGGUGUCAAACAUUAAGCCCUUAUGGACGGUAGGGCUUUCUGCUUAAGAUUUGACAUCAAAACUAGAAAGAUGGGGUUCUACCUCACCGCCAACAUUGAGCCGUACCCCACAGGAAGACAGAAGGCUACCAAAAUAUGGGAAUCUGCCUCAGGUGGUACUGCACAGUGUUGUUAAUCUCAUGGACAAGCUCCAUCCCAUGUGGUCUGACUGUUUUCUGUUGUGUUUGUCUCUCCCAGCUCACCCAUCCAGAAGGCCUUGUGAUGCUGGGGCCAGACAUCCUGCAGAAACAUCUCCAAAUGAAAAGCCUGGAGAUAUAAUCCCUGCUGGACCGGAUUCAGACCAGCGUGGCCUACCAGCAUUGGGCCAAUCCCCACAACAUUAAGCCCCCGUACAGCCUCAUUGCCCAGAUGCAUAGACUCAGAAGCACAUGGAAUAACAAACCUUGCCCAAAAAGACCAAAGCACCCAUGGCCUCUA